CCUACGGGAGACAGCAGUGAGGAAUAUUGGUCAAUGGACGGAAGUCUGAACCAGCCAUGCCGCGUGCAGGAAGACGGCUCUAUGAGUUGUAAACUGCUUUUGUACAAGGGUAAACCUGAAUACGUGUAUUCAGCUGAAAGUACUGUACGAAUAAGGAUCGGCUAACUCCGUGCCAGCAGCCGCGGUAAUACGGAAGGUCCGGGCGUUAUCCGGAUUUAUUGGGUUUAAAGGGAGCGUAGGCCGGCUUUUAAGUCAGCUGUGAAAGUCCGCGGCUCAACCGUGGAAUUGCAGUUGAAACUGGAGGCCUUGAGUGCACACAGGGAUGCCGGAAUUCAUGGUGUAGCGGUGAAAUGCUUAGAUAUCAUGAAGAACUCCGAUCGCGAAGGCAAGUGUCCGGGGUGCAACUGACGCUGAGGCUCGAAAGUGCGGGUAUCAAACAGGAUUAGAUACCCCUGUAGUC
This 460-nucleotide ribosomal RNA is filed under the name uncultured bacterium. RNAcentral describes it as "partial 16S ribosomal RNA". It matches the Rfam family "Bacterial small subunit ribosomal RNA", at positions 338 to 795 of the family's 1533-position model. The record is from RNAcentral.